UGAGCUGGCCGGGUGGCCGCGUCGGGGGGAACCCCGCCGAGGAACGUCCGGGCUCCACAGAGCAGGGUGGUGGGUAACGCCCACCCGGGGUGACCCGCGGGCACGUGCAACAGAAAGCAGACCGCCUCCUUGGAGGUAAGGGUGAAACGGUGGUGUAAGAGACCACCAGCACUGUCGGUGACGGCGGUGGCUAGGUAAACCCCACCCGGAGCAAGACCAGACAGCAGGUGAGUUGCUCGCUCACUACCUGCGGGUAGGUUGCUAGAUCGCUGCGGCAACGCAGCGGCGAGAUGGAUGGCCAUCCACGACAGAACCCGGCGUAUAGGCCAGCUCAUUCG
RNAcentral lists this RNase P RNA (338 nucleotides) under Ruaniaceae bacterium KH17. RNAcentral's name for it is "Bacterial RNase P class A". It matches the Rfam family "Bacterial RNase P class A". Rfam says of the family: Ribonuclease P (RNase P) is a ubiquitous endoribonuclease, found in archaea, bacteria and eukarya as well as chloroplasts and mitochondria. Its best characterised activity is the generation of mature 5'-ends of tRNAs by cleaving the 5'-leader elements of precursor-tRNAs. Cellular RNase Ps are ribonucleoproteins. Lineage: Bacteria; Bacillati; Actinomycetota; Actinomycetes; Micrococcales; Ruaniaceae. The record is from Rfam by way of RNAcentral.